GUGGGUAUAGCUCAGUGGCAGAGCACAUGCUUAGCAUGCAUGAAGUCCUGGGUUCAAUCUCCAGUACCAUUU
This 72-nucleotide transfer RNA is filed under the name Camelus bactrianus (Bactrian camel). It matches the Rfam family "tRNA". Rfam says of the family: Transfer RNA (tRNA) molecules are approximately 80 nucleotides in length. RNAcentral also lists the same sequence under 2 other names. The record is from Rfam by way of RNAcentral. Lineage: Eukaryota; Metazoa; Chordata; Mammalia; Artiodactyla; Camelidae.